GGACUACCCGGGUAUCUAAUCCCGUUCGCUCCCCUAGCCUUCGCGCCUCAGCGUCAGGUACGGCCCAGGGGGCCGCCUUCGCCACGGGUGUUCCUGCUGAUCUCUACGCAUUUCACCGCUACACCAGCAAUUCCACCCCCCUCUACCGACCUCUAGCUGUGUAGUCUAAAGUGCACCCUCCCCGUUGAGCAGGGAGAUUUCACACCUUACUUACACUGCCGCCUGCGCGCGCUUUACGCCCAGUAAAUCCGGACAACGCUUGCAUCCUACGUAUUACCGCGGCUGCUGGCAC
RNAcentral lists this ribosomal RNA (292 nucleotides) under uncultured bacterium. RNAcentral describes it as "partial 16S ribosomal RNA". The record is from RNAcentral.